GAUGCUUCCGUCUAUUAAGAGGAAGGAAGGGAUGGAAGUGGCCGAGGUGAAGGGUCGAAUUAAAGACAAUUCUUCUUCCGGGAAGAAAAAUGGAGCUCUGAAAGUUAAGAAGAAGAAGAAGAAAAAGAAGAAAAAGAUGAUUACUUUGAACUCACCAAUCGGCUUGUUAAAAAAGUUCUAGAAAGGGUUCACAACUUUGUUCAAGGUUUGUUCAUUUCUAGGACUAGACAUGGAAUUAUUCACGAGAUUUGGGCGUAAAUUCUUUGAUGCCUCAUGUAAGCAUCCUCUCUGGCUCUGUAUCUUAGAUUUUUUUUUUUCUUUUAUUCAAGGGAGAUGAUGGGAUUGUAUGAAAGAAAACAAAAAAAAAAGAAAAAAAGAAAAGAAAAGCUUGAAGAUUACAAAGCAACCCAUAAAUUUGUUUGGAUCUCACUUCAUUUCCCAUGCUUUCCCUCAAUCCAAGCGAAGCUUAAGUUCCACUUUUUUUCCCUUUUUUUUUUGUAUGUAAUCCUGUAUUUGGCUUCUGAAUUUUUAACAUUUGGAGCCCUUCCCAUGAUGAGUUUCUUCAUGUAUGCCCUCCAUAACUGGAGAAACUAUUUUAGCUCUUUUGCAAAUAUAUUCAUUGUACUGAGUC
Long non-coding RNA from Phalaenopsis equestris, 631 nucleotides. RefSeq lists it as uncharacterized. The record is from RefSeq and is a predicted model, not a curated record. NCBI's taxonomy places the organism in Eukaryota, Viridiplantae, Streptophyta, Magnoliopsida, Asparagales, Orchidaceae. The transcript has 2 exons.